GCUCAGUUGGUAGAGCACAAGGCUCUUAACCUUAUGGACGUGGGUUCGAGCCCCAU
Molecule: non-coding RNA, 56 nt
Organism: Triticum aestivum (bread wheat)
Lineage: Eukaryota; Viridiplantae; Streptophyta; Magnoliopsida; Poales; Poaceae
Source: Rfam